GCGACGCCGGCGGUUCGCCGCCGGUGUUGUUGUGAGAAGUUCAUUAAACCUUAUCAUUUAGAGGAAGGAGAAGUCGUAACAAGGUUUCCGUAGGUGAACCUGCGGAAGGAUCAUU
Molecule: ribosomal RNA, 115 nt
Filed under: Cheilolejeunea morganii
Lineage: Eukaryota; Viridiplantae; Streptophyta; Jungermanniopsida; Porellales; Lejeuneaceae
Description: Cheilolejeunea sp. LDS-2018a partial 18S ribosomal RNA
Rfam family: Eukaryotic small subunit ribosomal RNA
Source: RNAcentral